RNAcentral lists this ribosomal RNA (314 nucleotides) under cf. Stephanopis sp. Queensland MR201. RNAcentral describes it as "partial 12S ribosomal RNA". The record is from RNAcentral. Lineage: Eukaryota; Metazoa; Arthropoda; Arachnida; Araneae; Thomisidae.
AGGUAGUAAAAAUAUAUUUACAAACCUAUUUAUAUCGACGGCAUUUUAUUUUAUUAGAGGAACCUGUUUAUUAAUCGAUAAUCCACGUUAAUUUUUACUUUAUAUUAAAAUUUAUAUACCGCCACUUAAAGAAUUAAAUUUAUUAAUUUAUUCCAAAUAAAAAUUAAAAAUUAGGUCAAGGUGUAGUUAAUAAUAAAGAUUAAAUGGGUUACAUUAAAUGAACUUAUGAAUAAAUUUUAUUUAUAAAAUUUAGAAAAAGGAUUUAAAAGUAAUAAUUUAAUAAUAUUAAAUUAUUAAUUAAAUAAUAAAUGUGU